This 404-nucleotide ribosomal RNA is filed under the name uncultured bacterium. RNAcentral's name for it is "bacterial SSU rRNA". It matches the Rfam family "Bacterial small subunit ribosomal RNA", at positions 355 to 776 of the family's 1533-position model. The record is from RNAcentral.
UGGGGAAUAUUGGACAAUGGGCGCAAGCCUGAUCCAGCCAUGCCGCGUGAGUGAUGAAGGCCUUAGGGUUGUAAAGCUCUUUUAGCAGGGAAGAUAAUGACGGUACCUGCAGAAUAAGCCACGGCUAACUUCGUGCCAGCAGCCGCGGUAAUACGAAGGUGGCUAGCGUUGUUCGGAAUUACUGGGCGUAAAGCGCGCGUAGGCGGCUUUGCAAGUCAGGGGUGAAAUGCCAAGGCUUAACCUUGGAACUGCCUUUGAAACUGCAAAGCUAGAGUGUCGGAGGGGAUGGCGGAAUUCCUAAUGUAGAGGUGAAAUUCGUAGAUAUUAGGAGGAACACCGGUGGCGAAGGCGGCCAUCUGGACGACAACUGACGCUGAGGCGCGAAAGCGUGGGGAUCAAACAGG